GGUCAAGUUAUUAAGGGUGCAGGGCGGAUGCCUUGGCACUAGGAGCCGAUGAAGGACGUGAUAAGCUGCGAUAAGCUUCGGGGAGUUGCACGUAAACUUUGAUCCGAAGAUUUCCGAAUGAGGAAACUCACUUAGAGUAAUGUCUAAGUAUCAUUAAGUGAAUACAUAGCUUAAUGAGGGGAACUCAGGGAACUGAAACAUCUAAGUACCUGAAGGAAGAGAAAGAAAUUCGAUUCCGUAAGUAGCGGCGAGCGAACGCGGAUUAGCCCAAACCAAUAAAGUUUUCUUUAUUGGGGUUGCGGACAUAUCAUAACGAAGAGGUAUCGUAAUUGAAGAGGUUUGGAAAGACCCACCACAGAAGGUAAUAGUCCUGUAUGUUAAACGAGAAGACUUUAGAUAUGAUCCAGAGUACCACGGGACACGUGAAACCCUGUGGGAAGCAGGAGGGACCACCCUCCAAGGCUAAAUACUACCUAGUGACCGAUAGCGUAUAGUACCGUGAGGGAAAGGUGAAAAGAACCCCGGGAGGGGAGUGAAAUAGAACCUGAAACCCUGCACUUACAAGCUGUGGAAGCACAUUUCUUGUGUGACCGCGUACUUUUUGUAGAACGGGCCAACGAGUUACGUUAAGUAGCAAGGUUAAGCACUUAAGGUGUGGAGCCGUAGCGAAAGCGAGUUUUAACUGAGCGUUCAGUUACUUGACGUAGACCCGAAACCGGGCGACCUACCCAUGAGCAGGAUGAAGCGAAAGUAAAAUUUCGUGGAGGUCCGAACCCACGAGCGUUGAAAAGCUCGGGGAUGACUUGUGGGUAGCGGUGAAAUUCCAAUCGAGCCCGGAGAUAGCUGGUUCUCCCCGAAAUAGCUUUAGGGCUAGCCUCAAGGUGAGAGAUACGGAGGUAGAGCACUGAAUGUCCUAGGGGGUAUUGCACCUACCGAAGACUAUCAAACUCCGAAUGCCGUCAUCUUAUACUUGGGAGUCAGACUGUGGGUGAUAAGAUUCAUAGUCGAAAGGGCAACAGCCCAGAUCGUCAGCUAAGGUCCCUAAAUGUAAGUUAAGUGGUAAAGGAUGUGGGAUUGCACAGACAACCAGGAUGUUGGCUUAGAAGCAGCCACUCAUUCAAAGAGUGCGUAAUAGCUCACUGGUCGAGUGAUCCUGCGCCGAAGAUUUCCGGGGCUAAAACUUACUACCGAAGCUACGGCAUCAGUAAUGAUGGGUAGGGGAGCUUCCCAUACGGGUUGAAGCAUGACCGUAAGGACAUGUGGACAGUAUGGGAGUGAGAAUGUUGGCAUGAGUAGCGAGAUGUGGGUGAGAAUCCCACAGGCCGUAAACCCAAGGUUUCCAGGGGAAGGUUCGUCCGCCCUGGGUUAGUCGGGACCUAAGCUGAGGCCGAAAGGCGUAGGUGAUGGACAACAGGUUGAUAUUCCUGUACUACCGAUAACCGUUUGAGAGAAGGGAUGACACAGUAGGAUAAGCUAAGCACACUGUUGGUUAUGUGUGCCCAAGCAUUGAGGCAGUCAAAGUAGGCAAAUCCGCUUUGAUAAUGCUGGGAUGUGAUGGGGAGCGAAAUUUAGUAGCGAAGUAGCUGAUUUCACACUGUCAAGAAAAGUCUCUAUCGAGGUUAAAGAUACCCGUACCGCAAACCGACACAGGUGGGUGAGGAGAGUAUCCUAAGGCCAGCGAGAGAACUGUUGUUAAGGAACUCGGCAAAAUGACCCCGUAACUUAGGGAUAAGGGGUGCCACCAUCAGGUGGCCGCAGAGAAUAGGCCCAAGCGACUGUUUACCAAAAACAUAGGUUUCUGCUAAGUCGCAAGACGAUGUAUAGGAGCUGACGCCUGCCCGGUGCUGGAAGGUUAAGGGGAUCUGUUAGAGCAAUCGAAGCAGUGAACUUAAGCCCCAGUAAACGGCGGCCGUAACUAUAACGGUCCUAAGGUAGCGAAAUUCCUUGUCGGGUAAGUUCCGACCCGCACGAAAGGCGUAACGAUUUGGGCACUGUCUCAACAACAGACUCGGUGAAAUUGUAAUUCCGGUGAAGAUGCCGGAUACCUGCGACAGGACGGAAAGACCCCAUGGAGCUUUACUGUAGCUUGACAUUGGGUCUUGGUACUACAUGUACAGGAUAGGUGGGAGGCUUUGAAACCAGGACGCCAGUUUUGGCGGAGCCAUCCUUGGGAUACCACCCUUGUAGUACUGGGACUCUAACCAUAGGCCAUGAAUCUGGUCUUGGGACACUGUCAGGUGGGCAGUUUGACUGGGGCGGUCGCCUCCCAAAAGGUAACGGAGGCGCUCAAAGGUUCUCUCAGUACGGUCGGAAAUCGUACGUAGAGUGUAAAGGCAAAAGAGAGCUUGAUUGCAAGACAUACAGGUCGAGCAAGGAUGAAAAUCGGACUUAGUGAUCCGGUGGUUCUGCGUGGAAGGGCCAUCGCUCAACGGAUAAAAGCUACCCUGGGGAUAACAGGCUUAUCUCCCCCAAGAGUCCACAUCGACGGGGAGGUUUGGCACCUCGAUGUCGGCUCAUCACAUCCUGGGGCUGUAGUAGGUCCCAAGGGUUGGGCUGUUCGCCCAUUAAAGUGGUACGCGAGCUGGGUUCAGAACGUCGUGAGACAGUUCGGUCCCUAUCCGUCGCAGGCGUAGGAAAUUUGAGAAGACCUGUCCUUAGUACGAGAGGACCGGGAUGGACG
This 2680-nucleotide ribosomal RNA is filed under the name Clostridioides difficile. Its description in RNAcentral is "partial 23S ribosomal RNA". It matches the Rfam family "Bacterial large subunit ribosomal RNA". The record is from RNAcentral. Lineage: Bacteria; Bacillati; Bacillota; Clostridia; Peptostreptococcales; Peptostreptococcaceae.